RNAcentral lists this ribosomal RNA (117 nucleotides) under Pseudomonas oryzihabitans. Its description in RNAcentral is "partial 16S ribosomal RNA". It matches the Rfam family "Bacterial small subunit ribosomal RNA", at positions 1 to 113 of the family's 1533-position model. Lineage: Bacteria; Pseudomonadati; Pseudomonadota; Gammaproteobacteria; Pseudomonadales; Pseudomonadaceae. The record is from RNAcentral.
ACUUAACUGAAGAGUUUGAUCAUGGCUCAGAUUGAACGCUGGCGGCAGGCCUAACACAUGCAAGUCGAGCGGAUGAGAGGAGCUUGCUCCUCGAUUCAGCGGCGGACGGGUGAGUAA